RNAcentral lists this long non-coding RNA (3187 nucleotides) under Sus scrofa (pig). RNAcentral's name for it is "lncRNA (ENSSSCG00060056453.1)". The record is from RNAcentral. Lineage: Eukaryota; Metazoa; Chordata; Mammalia; Artiodactyla; Suidae.
CAGUAAACCGGUGUCUGGACUCACUGAGGUUCAGGUUCUUCAUGUCUCCGUGCAGAAGGAAUUCAGCGAGAGACAAUGUGAUAGGUAAGAAAUAGGUUUAAUAAAAUAGGACGUUUGUGAGGGAUACAGGUGGGCAGGCAAGGAGGCUCUGCCCUGAGGAUUAGGUGGCUACAUUUUCAUAAUCGAAGGAAAGCGGGGAGGGAGAAAAGACCGCCUUCUUCCUCCGAGUAGCUGUCAGGCUUACUUCACUAGCUCCUCCCCCGUAUUGGGUAGGAGUGUUUGACCCUAUGGGGUCAAACUAGGACUGUCACAGCGCUUUUUCAAAUCGGCAGAAGGGUGGUACCAUCUGCUAAAGUACAUUGAAUUAUCUCAGGUUUCCAUAUUAUGAGGGUCUCCUACUUUGGAAAGUCAUCCUUCCCUUAAAUUCCUGUCCUUGGUCCUAAGGGUCAUUCUCUUGCUGAACUUGAAUGCAGGCCUCAUUUUAUCCUUCAUUUAAUGACCGGAGGCAUAUCUCCUGCUUUUACUUAUGGUUUUAUAGUGAAGCAAACCUGCUGUGUUCUGAUGGCUUUCUUGAGCAGUUAUUAACAUACAGUGGUGUCCCAGAGUGCCCUAGGUUUCCUUCUCUCUCUGUGGUCCCCUCCUGGGACUCCUACAACUACCUGUAUAACUAUCCUAUUCUGUCCCUAUCACGCCCACCAGUGCUUCUGUCCUUAGACAACGUCAAGGUGAGGAUUCCUUGCUUAGGCCCUGUUUUUCUCUGCAUUGGCAAAUGAAAUCAUUUCUUGGUGCAGCUGAGGUGCCCUCAGUUCCUUAGAGUAAUUAUUGCUCUAUCAGUAAACGGAAAGGUUUUAAUUUCACAAGAGUGCGUGCAAAUCGUGCAUUUUGCUUUUGCUCAGCCUUAAUCAAUACUGUAACAGAAUUAAGAGGUCCCAGCAAGCCUUGUGAUCUUACCUAAGCUAAUAAAAAAUGAGCCUACAUAACUACAAAACGAGACCUUAGCUAAUGCACUUGUCGAUAACACGUGACCACAUUUUUCUGUCUUGUAUCAAAUUUUCUCUGGUUUGUUCAGGUAUUGACUGAAAGUGUGUGUUUUUUAGAGGCAGGGGCAGUCUCUCCAGCUACUACAGUUUAAGGUUUUAUGUCAUCUUCUUUCAUGUCACCCUAAUUACAUUAAAUUUUAACCUCAAGCCUGGUCGCCAAUAAUCUCCCUCUUCUCUCUUGCCUGUUUUCCCUCAGGACUGUCCACCUUCUAUUACUCUCUUUAUUUUAUUUGUUGAUCUCCUUUCUCCUCUGCCUCUCUGUUGUGGUCGUUGUUGUUUUCUCUCAUUUAUUCACCUAGGCUCUAGGACAGUGCCUGGCAUGUGGUAGACACUCAAAAAAUUAUUUGCUGCAGGAAGGAAUGAAAUCGCCUGGUACAGCUGUUGUAUACAGCGGGCAUAAUUUUUAACAUCCAUCACUUUUUUUUUUUCUAAAAUUCUCUCUUUCCUGGAGUUCCCUGGUGGCUCAGCAAGUUAAGUAUCUGGCAUUGUGACUACUGUGGCCUGGGUUGCUGCUGUGGCAUGGGUUCCAUCCCUGGCCCAGGAACUUCCGCAUGCCAUGGGUGUGGGCAAGGAAAACAAAACCAAAAUAAAGUAAAAUAAAAUUCUGUGUUUCCAGAUGCUUGGUAUAUAGUGUAUGCUCACCUGGCUGGUUGAUUAGAUAAGUGGACAAAUCAAAUGUUACAUUACAAUGAUGGAAAAUAAUGUCACGUUCCAUCCAAUAGCCUCCCCUCCCGGCUAGCUAUUCCACCGACCCAGCUGGCCAGAAAGAAGGAGGCAGGGAGAACAAGCAUAUAUUCUCUGUCCUUAUCUCUCCAGCACACGGCUGGUUUUUUAAAUAGCCUUUAAUGACCAUUGCAUAAAGAUGUCACUGCGUCAGUGCCGUCCCCAAGCAGCUGGGAGACUGUGAAGCCCCGUGUCUUUCUGUGACAUCCCUCCCAUGGACCACAGGGGGGCUUCACCUACUUCAUUUGUAACCCAGCUCCCAGGAUAGGGCAUCCUGCUAAAUACACCAGCUCCCUUAUCGGCCUCUCCUAUGGUAAUGCUCUUGCUACACAAGCCAGACAAUUAGAGGUAAUUGGGAUAAUCGGCAUUUAUUAUGGCAAUUUGCAUUUCUACAGCAAGCAGUACAGAAUUUACCACCCAGUUUGGGAAUGUGCUUUUUGGAUCUGCACUGAAUUUGGCUCUUCAUUCCAAAGCACUUUUUAGAGCCCCCAGGAUCUGUCCCUCCUCGGCCCACAGGAUGUCCUUAGGGCUGCAUUAGGUGUGACUCUCAUCAGCCAGUCAGAGGCGAGCAUGCAAAUUAGGGUCUGGGAAUUAGGGAAGCCUCGCUCCCACCAUCUGGGGCCUGGGGAAAAGCUACUGUGGAAGGAUCCCUGGAUCUGUGGCCAGACCCCUGGUGACUGAUUUUUCGCUACAUUGACCAGAUGUUUGACUUAAUUGACAGAAUUGUUUUGCUGCCUCAGCUGAGUGACUCAAAUCUCAAGCCUGCUAUUAGUAGAAACCUCAGCAAGGGAGACCCUGUGAUGGUUCUCCACACAUGAGCCCAAGAGACUUCUGAACGCAAGGGUGCCUGUUCUGUCUGUGCCCACCUUCGCUGGUAUGGAUACCUCCCUUGUGCCCAGCUUUUUGGGUACCUGCCUGUCCCUCAUGAAUGAGGGCAGAGCUGUGCAGUGGUCAUAACUGUCAGUUCUCCACUGCAGCUUCCUGGGUUAGAAUCUAUUCGCCGCCAGUUGUUAGCUGGGUGAUCAUGAGUUAUCUAACGUCUUGGUGCAACAGUUUCCUCGUCAUUAAAGUAGAGGUAUCAGUAACACCUGGCCCUGUGAUUGACAUAAGAAUCAAGUGAGAUCAUAUAUAUAAAUCCUCUAGCAAAGAAGAAAAAAACAAAAAAAUGUUUUUAAUAAAUUUAAGGAGUUCCUGUCAUGGCUCAGUGGAAACGAAUCUGACUAGUAUUCAAGAGGACGCAGGUUUGAUCCCUGGCCUUGCUCAGCAGGUUAAGGAUCCAGCGUUGCUGUGAGCUGUGGUGUAGGUCACAGACAUGGCUCGGAUCUGGCAUUGCUGUGGCUCUGGCGUAGGCCAGCUAUGGUGUAGGCUGGCAGCUUCAAUUCGACCCCUAGCCUGGGUACUUCCAUAUGCUGUGGGUGCAGCCC